Molecule: non-coding RNA, 78 nt
Organism: Pelobates cultripes (western spadefoot toad)
Lineage: Eukaryota; Metazoa; Chordata; Amphibia; Anura; Pelobatidae
Source: the annotation of a GenBank genome assembly
UAUACAAACACACACUGCAUUAUAUACACACACACUAUACAAACACACUGUGUAUAUAAUGCAGUGUGUGUGUUUGUA